This 254-nucleotide ribosomal RNA is filed under the name uncultured bacterium. Its description in RNAcentral is "partial 16S ribosomal RNA". It matches the Rfam family "Bacterial small subunit ribosomal RNA", at positions 524 to 776 of the family's 1533-position model. The record is from RNAcentral.
UACGUAGGGUGCGAGCGUUGUCCGGAAUUAUUGGGCGUAAAGAGCUUGUAGGCGGUCUGUCGCGUCUGCUGUGAAAAUCCGGGGCUCAACCCCGGACUUGCAGUGGGUACGGGCAGACUAGAGUGUGGUAGGGGAGACUGGAAUUCCCGGUGUAGCGGUGAAAUGCGCAGAUAUCGGGAGGAACACCGGUGGCGAAGGCGGUUCUCUGGGGCCUUACCUGACGCUGAGGAGCGAAAGCAUGGGGAGCGAACAGG